Molecule: long non-coding RNA, 475 nt
Organism: Leptinotarsa decemlineata (Colorado potato beetle)
Lineage: Eukaryota; Metazoa; Arthropoda; Insecta; Coleoptera; Chrysomelidae
Source: RefSeq, a predicted model, not a curated record
AAGUAUGUGUCCAUAGAUGUAGACCACAAAUAAAAUAUAAAACGUCGACGCAUCACUACAUAGUAUGAAAUAAAGUAGCUGCGGUGUAGAUUUGUAUCUUGUUCCGUUCCAAUGACUGAUACGGUCAGAAAUCGCAAAUACUACCGGAAACAAGUUGUGUUAUCUAGCGAUAAGACGAACACGUACGGUGUUACUGGCUAUUGUCUCAUAUGGAUACGCGCCCAUAAGUCGAACCACCAUUGCAUGCAGUGUUACUUCGUACCUCGUUCAAUUUCGUUACGGUCGAAACUCAAAAUGUUUAUGCAAGAGAAUCGUAUCAUUUCACAAUAUAGGCCGAACAUGCCCAUACAUCAAAGAAAGCAACAUAGACGUCUCAAGCAAAUGGCACUGCAAGUCAUCCACAAAGUUACUGAGAUAUUUCUACCCGUUAUGCCCCUUGAAGACGCCGCUAAGGAGCCAUUGAAAUAGUGACUUG